This 1515-nucleotide ribosomal RNA is filed under the name SAR86 cluster bacterium AG-313-D11. RNAcentral describes it as "bacterial SSU rRNA". It matches the Rfam family "Bacterial small subunit ribosomal RNA". The record is from RNAcentral. RNAcentral also lists the same sequence under 1 other name. Lineage: Bacteria; Pseudomonadati; Pseudomonadota; Gammaproteobacteria.
AGAGUUUGAUCAUGGCUCAGAUUGAACGCUGGCGGUAGGCUUAACACAUGCAAGUCGUGCGAGAAAGUAUCUUCGGAUAUGAGUAGAGCGGCGGACGGGUGAGUAACGCGUAGGAAUCUACCUAGUAGAAGGGGAUAGCCCGGGGAAACUCGGAUUAAUACCGUAUACCUCCUUCGGGAGAAAGAAGGCCUCUCUUUGAAGCUUUCGCUAUUAGAUGAGCCUGCGUAAGAUUAGCUUGUUGGUGAGGUAAAGGCUCACCAAGGCGACGAUCUUUAGCGGGUCUGAGAGGACGAUCCGCCACAUUGGGACUGAGACACGGCCCAGACUCCUACGGGAGGCAGCAGUGGGGAAUAUUGGACAAUGGGCGCAAGCCUGAUCCAGCCAUACCGCGUGUGUGAAGAAGGCCCUAGGGUUGUAAAGCACUUUAAGUUGGGAAGAAAAGUUAUUGGUUAAUAUCCAAUAACCGUGACAUUACCAUCAGAAUAAGGACCGGCUAAUUCCGUGCCAGCAGCCGCGGUAAUACGGAAGGUCCAAGCGUUAAUCGGAAUUACUGGGCGUAAAGCGCGCGUAGGUGGUUUAUUAAGUUGGAUGUGAAAUCCCCGGGCUCAACCUGGGAACUGCAUCCAAAACUGAUUCACUAGAGUACGAUAGAGGGAGGUAGAAUUCACAGUGUAGCGGUGGAAUGCGUAGAUAUUGUGAAGAAUACCAAUGGCGAAGGCAGCCUCCUGGAUCUGUACUGACACUGAGGUGCGAAAGCGUGGGUAGCGAACAGGAUUAGAUACCCUGGUAGUCCACGCCGUAAACGAUGUCAACUAGCUGUUGGAGAACUAUGUUCUUCAGUGGCGCAGCUAACGUAGUAAGUUGACCGCCUGGGGAGUACGGCCGCAAGGCUAAAACUCAAAUGAAUUGACGGGGACCCGCACAAGCGGUGGAGCAUGUGGUUUAAUUCGAUGCAACGCGAAAAACCUUACCUAUACUUGACAUACUUGGAAUGCUUUGUAAUGAAGCAGUGCCUUCGGGAGCUAAGAUACAGGUGCUGCAUGGCUGUCGUCAGCUCGUGUCGUGAGAUGUUCCGUUAAGUCGGAUAACGAGCGCAACCCUUACCCUUAUUUGCCAGCGAUUCGGUCGGGAACUAUAAGGGGACUGCCGGUGAUAAACCGGAGGAAGGUGAGGACGACGUCAAGUCAUCAUGGCCCUUACGUAUAGGGCUACACACGUGCUACAAUGGAGAAUACAGACGGACGCUAAGCCGCGAGGUGGUGCUAAUCCUAGAAAAUUCUUCGUAGUCCGGAUUGGAGUCUGCAACUCGACUCCAUGAAGUCGGAAUCGCUAGUAAUCGCGAAUCAGCAUGUCGCGGUGAAUACGUUCUCGGGUCUUGUACACACCGCCCGUCAUACCAUGGAAGUGGAUUGCACCAGAAGUAGAUAGUCUAACCUUCGGGAGGGCGUUUACCACGGUGUGCUUCAUGACUGGGGUAAAGUCGUAACAAGGUAGCCGUAGGGGAACCUGUGGCUG